GCUGGUGUGGCAGAGCCUGGUAAUUGCCAAAGACCUAAGCUCUUUUUACAGGGGUUCAAAUCCCCUCACCAGUU
RNAcentral lists this transfer RNA (74 nucleotides) under Salminus brasiliensis (dorado). Its description in RNAcentral is "tRNA-Leu". It matches the Rfam family "tRNA". From Rfam's summary of the family: Transfer RNA (tRNA) molecules are approximately 80 nucleotides in length. Lineage: Eukaryota; Metazoa; Chordata; Actinopteri; Characiformes; Bryconidae. The record is from RNAcentral.